GUGCUUUGGCAGCACAUAUACUAAAAUUGGAAUGAUACAGCGAUCACUAUAGUCCAUAUCCAAGGAUGUCACAUAAAUUCUUCAGUGAUCUAUAUUUUGU
RNAcentral lists this small nuclear RNA (100 nucleotides) under Sciurus vulgaris (Eurasian red squirrel). Lineage: Eukaryota; Metazoa; Chordata; Mammalia; Rodentia; Sciuridae. The record is from RNAcentral.